UGGGGUGUGGUUCAGUGUAGAGCACUUGCCUAGCAUGUGAGAGGACCUGGGUUCAAUCCUCAGCACCACAU
Molecule: transfer RNA, 71 nt
Filed under: Ictidomys tridecemlineatus (thirteen-lined ground squirrel)
Lineage: Eukaryota; Metazoa; Chordata; Mammalia; Rodentia; Sciuridae
Description: Spermophilus tridecemlineatus (thirteen-lined ground squirrel) tRNA
Rfam family: tRNA
About the family: Transfer RNA (tRNA) molecules are approximately 80 nucleotides in length. Their secondary structure includes four short double-helical elements and three loops (D, anti-codon, and T loops). Further hydrogen bonds mediate the characteristic L-shaped molecular structure. tRNAs have two regions of fundamental functional importance: the anti-codon, which is responsible for specific mRNA codon recognition, and the 3' end, to which the tRNAs corresponding amino acid is attached (by aminoacyl-tRNA synthetases). tRNAs cope with the degeneracy of the genetic code in two manners: having more than one tRNA (with a specific anti-codon) for a particular amino acid; and 'wobble' base-pairing, i.e. permitting non-standard base-pairing at the 3rd anti-codon position.
Source: Rfam by way of RNAcentral